This 756-nucleotide ribosomal RNA is filed under the name uncultured Sebacinales. RNAcentral's name for it is "eukaryotic LSU rRNA". The stretch from base 150 to 756 matches the Rfam family "Eukaryotic large subunit ribosomal RNA", at positions 1 to 611 of the family's 3401-position model. The record is from RNAcentral. Lineage: Eukaryota; Fungi; Basidiomycota; Agaricomycetes; Sebacinales.
UACUGCGACUGGUCUUAAAUGUAUGAGUGCACCCUGCUGUUGCAGCGUCUUCAGUGUGAUAAGCAUCCUCACUGGACAACGUUCCUUCGGGACACGCAAGCAUUGUGGGCUCUGUGCUGCCAACCGUCUUUAGACAAACCUUGACAAUUUGACCUCAAAUCGGGUGGGACUACCCGCUGAACUUAAGCAUAUCAAUAAGCGGAGGAAAAGAAACUAACAAGGAUUCCCCUAGUAACGGCGAGUGAAGAGGGAAAAGCUCAAAUUUUGAAUCUGGUGUCUUUGGCGCCCGAGUUGUAAUCUAGAGAAGUGUUUUCUGCCUUGGACCACACAUAAAUUCCCUGGAAUGGGGUGUCAUAGAGGGUGAGAAUCCCGUUUGUGGUGUGGACUACCUUGGCUCUGUGAUACACUCUCAACGAGUCGAGUUGUUUGGGAAUGCAGCUCAAAAUGGGUGGUAAAUUCCAUCUAAAGCUAAAUAUUGGCGAGAGACCGAUAGCGAACAAGUACCGUGAGGGAAAGAUGAAAAGCACUUUGGAAAGAGAGUGAAACAGUACGUGAAAUUGUUGAAAGGGAAGCGUUUGAAGUCAGUCACAUUGGUCGGAAUUCAGCCUGGCAUUGCCUGGUGUACUUUCUGGCAAAUGGGUCAGUGUCAAUUUUGACUGAGGGAGAAAGACUUGAGGAAUGUGACUGUCUUCGGGCAGUGUUAUAGCCUCUUGUUGUAUGCCUCAGUUGGGAUUGAGGAUUGCAGCACGCCUUAUG